UACGAAGGGGGCUAGCGUUGCUCGGAAUUACUGGGCGUAAAGCGCACGUAGGCGGCUUCUUAAGUCGGUGGUGAAAUCCUGGAGCUCAACUCCAGAACUGCCUUCGAUACUGGGAAGCUCGAGUCCGGGAGAGGUGAGUGGAACUGCGAGUGUAGAGGUGAAAUUCGUAGAUAUUAGGAAGAACACCAGUGGCGAAGGCGGCUCACUGGCCCGGUACUGACGCUGAGGCGCGAAGGCGUGGGGAGCAAACAGG
RNAcentral lists this ribosomal RNA (253 nucleotides) under uncultured bacterium. Its description in RNAcentral is "partial 16S ribosomal RNA". It matches the Rfam family "Bacterial small subunit ribosomal RNA", at positions 524 to 776 of the family's 1533-position model. The record is from RNAcentral.